This 359-nucleotide ribosomal RNA is filed under the name uncultured Sphingobacteriales bacterium. RNAcentral's name for it is "bacterial SSU rRNA". It matches the Rfam family "Bacterial small subunit ribosomal RNA", at positions 1023 to 1381 of the family's 1533-position model. Lineage: Bacteria; Pseudomonadati; Bacteroidota; Sphingobacteriia; Sphingobacteriales. The record is from RNAcentral.
CGGACAAUAUACAAGGUGCUGCAUGGUUGUCGUCAGCUCGUGCCGUGAGGUGUCGGGUUAAGUCCCAUAACGAGCGCAACCCCUAUCAUUAGUUGCCAUCAGGUCAAGCUGGGGACUCUAAUGAAACUGCCUACGCAAGGUAGUGAGGAAGGUGGGGAUGACGUCAAAUCAGCACGGCCCUUACGUCCAGGGCUACACACGUGCUACAAUGGCCGGUACAAAGGGCAGCUACCUGGUGACAGGAUGCUAAUCUCAAAAGCCGGUCUCAGUUCGGAUCGCAGUCUGCAACUCGACUGCGUGAAGUCGGAAUCGCUAGUAAUCGUGAAUCAGAAUGUCACGGUGAAUACGUUCCCGGCCUU